Paramuricea clavata is the source of this 201-nucleotide non-coding RNA. The record is from the annotation of a GenBank genome assembly. Lineage: Eukaryota; Metazoa; Cnidaria; Anthozoa; Malacalcyonacea; Plexauridae.
CCCUAGUUGUAUCCCCUGAUUACGUUCAACAAGCAGUAAGGUGAACAAAAUGAAGAAAACUGCAAAGUUACAGCAAUUCAUGUCUUGGAUGCAGUGUUUCAGCUGCUUUUACAAUAUUUAGCAAGAAUCUUACAGCUCCUCGGUGUCUUUACUCAACGAGCACCAACCAAUUCUGACCACGGAAUAUCAUCUAACCCUCAU